Molecule: ribosomal RNA, 282 nt
Filed under: uncultured bacterium
Lineage: Bacteria
Description: partial 16S ribosomal RNA
Rfam family: Bacterial small subunit ribosomal RNA
Source: RNAcentral
UACGAAGGGGGCAAGCGUUGUUCGGAAUCACUGGGCGUAAAGCGCACGUAGGCGGAUUGUUAAGUUAGGGGUGAAAUCCCGGGGCUCAACCUCGGAACUGCCUCUGAUACUGGCAAUCUUGAGUUCGGGAGAGGAGUGUGGAACUCCGAGUGUAGAGGUGAAAUUCGUAGAUAUUCGGAAAGAACACCAGAGGCGGAAGGCGGCACUCUGGCCCCGAUACUGACGCUGAGGUGGCGAAAAAGCGUGGGGAGCAAACAGGGAUUAAGAUACCCCCUGUAGUCC